Molecule: non-coding RNA, 73 nt
Organism: Dictyocaulus viviparus (bovine lungworm)
Lineage: Eukaryota; Metazoa; Nematoda; Chromadorea; Rhabditida; Metastrongylidae
Source: Rfam
GCCUCGGUAGUGUAAUGGAUCAGCACGGAAGACCGGAUAUCUGUAGGUGCGAGUUCGAGUCCCGCCUGAGGUU